RNAcentral lists this ribosomal RNA (392 nucleotides) under uncultured eukaryote. RNAcentral's name for it is "partial 18S ribosomal RNA". It matches the Rfam family "Eukaryotic small subunit ribosomal RNA", at positions 592 to 976 of the family's 1831-position model. The record is from RNAcentral.
CAAUAGCGUAUACUAAAGUUGUUGCGAUUAAAAAGCUCGUAGUUGGAUCUCAGGCAUGGGCGCACGGUCCGCCUCGCGGCGGUCACUGUGUGUUUUGUUUCCCAUCCUACGCUUCCCGGUUAUCAGCCCAUGGUGCUCUUCACUGAGCGUUUUGGGUGGCCGGAACGUUUACUUUGAAGAAAUUAGAGUGUUCAAGGCAGGCACGUCGCCUGAAUAAUGGUGCAUGGAAUAAUGGAAUAGGACCUCGGUUCUAUUUUGCUGGUUUUCGGAACACGAGGUAAUGAUUAAGAGGGACAGACGGGGGCAUCCGUAUUGCGGUGUUAGAGGUGAAAUUCUUGGAUCAUCGCAAGACGAACAACUGCGAAAGCAUUUGCCAAGCAUGUUUUCAUUAG